Molecule: ribosomal RNA, 253 nt
Filed under: uncultured bacterium
Lineage: Bacteria
Description: partial 16S ribosomal RNA
Rfam family: Bacterial small subunit ribosomal RNA
Source: RNAcentral
UACGUAGGGUCCGAGCGUUGUCCGGAAUUACUGGGCGUAAAGAGCUCGUAGGUGGUUUGUCGCGUUGUUCGUGAAAACUCACAGCUCAACUGUGGGCGUGCGGGCGAUACGGGCAGACUUGAGUACUGCAGGGGAGACUGGAAUUCCUGGUGUAGCGGUGAAAUGCGCAGAUAUCAGGAGGAACACCGGUGACGAAGGCGGGUCUCUGGGCAACAACUGACGCUGAGGAGCGAAAGCGUGGGGAGCGAACAGG